UACGUAGGGGGCAAGCGUUAUCCGGAUUUACUGGGUGUAAAGGGAGCGUAGACGGUCCUGCAAGCCAGAUGUGAAAGCCCGGGGCUCAACCCCGGGACUGCAUUUGGAACUGUAAGGCUAGAGUGUCGGAGAGGCAGGCGGAAUUCCUAGUGUAGCGGCGAAAUGCGUAGAUAUUGGGAGGAACACCAGUGGCGAAGGCGGCCUGCUGGACGAUGACUGACGUUGAGGCUCGAAAGCGUGGGGAGCAAACAGG
Molecule: ribosomal RNA, 253 nt
Filed under: uncultured bacterium
Lineage: Bacteria
Description: partial 16S ribosomal RNA
Rfam family: Bacterial small subunit ribosomal RNA
Source: RNAcentral